AUGUUGAUGGCGCCUCACCAUGCAAGGUCGUCGACGUCGGCGACGGUGCUGAUGGUGCUCGUGGCCGCGGCGGUCGUCGUAGGCGGCGCGGCGGCGGCGGCGUCGGGGAAGAAGAAGCCGGUGGUGCCGGCGGUGAUCGUGUUCGGGGACUCGACGGUGGACACGGGCAACAACAACGUGAUCGGCACGGUGCUGAAGAGCAACUUCCCGCCGUACGGGCGCGACCUGCAGGGCGGCGCCACGGGCCGGUUCUGCAACGGGCGGCUGCCGCCCGACUUCGUCUCCGAGGCGCUCGGCCUGCCGCCGCUCGUGCCGGCGUACCUCGACCCGGCAUACGGCAUCGAGGACUUCGCCACCGGCGUCGUCUUCGCCUCCGCCGGCUCCGGCCUCGACAACGCCACCGCGAGCGUCCUGGCAGUGAUACCGAUGUGGAAGGAGGUGGAGUACUUCAAGGAGUACCAGCGCCGGCUGGCGAAGCACGCCGGGCGCGCCCGUGCCAGGCACAUCGUGGCCAACGCGGUGUACGUCGUCAGCGUGGGCACCAACGACUUCCUGGAGAACUACUACCUGCUGGUCACCGGGCGGUUCCUGCAGUUCACGGUGGCCGAGUACCAGGACUUCCUGGUGGCGCGCGCCGCGGAGUUCCUCACGGCCAUCUACCGCCUCGGCGCGCGCCGGGUUACCUUCGCGGGGCUCUCCGCCAUCGGCUGCGUGCCGCUGGAGCGCACGCUCAACCUGCUCGGCGGCGGCGGCUGCAACGAGGAGUACAACCAGGUGGCCCGGGACUACAACGUCAAGGUCAAGGCCAUGAUCGCCAGGCUCCGGGCGGAGCUCCGCGGGUACAGGCUCGCCUACAUCAACGUCUACGACGACAUGGUCGACCUCAUCGAGCACCCCGAGAAGCUCGGGCUGGAGAACGUCUCGGAGGGGUGCUGCGCCACCGGGAAGGUGGAGAUGGGGUUCAUGUGCAACGACAAGUCCCCUCUUACCUGCGACGACGCCGACAAGUACUUCUUCUGGGACUCGUUCCAUCCAACCGAGAAGAUCAACCGCUUCUUCGCCAAAGGGACGACGGCGGUGAGCUUGAGCUUGUUGAGGUAG
Molecule: ribosomal RNA, 1101 nt
Filed under: Triticum aestivum (bread wheat)
Lineage: Eukaryota; Viridiplantae; Streptophyta; Magnoliopsida; Poales; Poaceae
Description: partial small subunit ribosomal RNA
Source: RNAcentral